AUUGAACGCUGGCGGCAGGCCUAACACAUGCAAGUCGAGCGGAUGAAGGGAGCUUGCUCCUGGAUUCAGCGGCGGACGGGUGAGUAAUGCCUAGGAAUCUGCCUGGUAGUGGGGGAUAACGUCCGGAAACGGGCGCUAAUACCGCAUACGUCCUGAGGGAGAAAGUGGGGGAUCUUCGGACCUCACGCUAUCAGAUGAGCCUAGGUCGGAUUAGCUAGUUGGUGGGGUAAAGGCCUACCAAGGCGACGAUCCGUAACUGGUCUGAGAGGAUGAUCAGUCACACUGGAACUGAGACACGGUCCAGACUCCUACGGGAGGCAGCAGUGGGGAAUAUUGGACAAUGGGCGAAAGCCUGAUCCAGCCAUGCCGCGUGUGUGAAGAAGGUCUUCGGAUUGUAAAGCACUUUAAGUUGGGAGGAAGGGCAGUAAGUUAAUACCUUGCUGUUUUGACGUUACCAAUAGAAUAAGCACCGGCUAACCUCGUG
Molecule: ribosomal RNA, 484 nt
Filed under: uncultured bacterium
Lineage: Bacteria
Description: partial 16S ribosomal RNA
Rfam family: Bacterial small subunit ribosomal RNA
Source: RNAcentral